CCUCUCUCUUGUUUGCAUGUGAAUGUUUAGUGUAUCUUACAUGAAGAUAUCCUUCAAGUUGAAAUUUCUCAUUUUUCUUUCUUGAAGGAAGGUCAUUAGUUUCUUUAAGAUACAAAGCAUUCAUCCAACAUAUAUAUAUUUUUAAUUAGAUGACUCAAUAUGAGAUAUGACAAUAGUUGCAUGUUGAGUCACUUUACUCAAGAGAUUGCCUAAAUAUAAGCAAGCACAUAUCAUUUGAACUAAAGAGAUAGUUUCAUUAAACAAGAUGGUUCAAGGACAAGCAUAUGAGGCAAUAGGAAGAUCUAUCAAGGUUAAAUCAAUUUCUUAUUUUCAAAAUCAGUUUAGUUUAGAUUCUAUUUGCUUAAGAUAAAUAUCAAUAAGAUAUUUUAGCUAAGUUUUAAUCAACUUUAUCUUAAACAGUUGUUUCUAUCAAAAAAUUCAGAUUAUGAUUUAUUUGUUAUCAAUAAAAUAUGAUUCAUUAAAGUUGAAUUGAAGUCUUGCACAAGGUCACAUAAUGAGCAUACAACCUGGUCUACUAGCUGUAUGAUAAAAUAAUCAUUCUAUCAUGCUUCAAUACAGCUUUAAACAGUAGAUCUAUUUUGCUCAUUCUUUUCAAAUUCUACAAGAUGGGGUCAUAGAUAUACCU
RNAcentral lists this long non-coding RNA (646 nucleotides) under Phoenix dactylifera (date palm). Its description in RNAcentral is "long non-coding RNA (PDAC_LNC019699)". Lineage: Eukaryota; Viridiplantae; Streptophyta; Magnoliopsida; Arecales; Arecaceae. The record is from RNAcentral.